This 250-nucleotide ribosomal RNA is filed under the name uncultured bacterium. Its description in RNAcentral is "partial 16S ribosomal RNA". It matches the Rfam family "Bacterial small subunit ribosomal RNA", at positions 524 to 773 of the family's 1533-position model. The record is from RNAcentral.
UACGAGGGGUGCAAGCGUUGCUCGGAAUCAUUGGGCGUAAAGGGCAGGUAGGUGGUCUCAUUUGUCUGGGGUGAAAGCCCGGGGCUUAACCCCGGAAGUGCCCCAGAAACGGUGAGACUAGAGUGCUGGAGAGGGUCGUGGAAUUCCCGGUGUAGCGGUGAAAUGCGUAGAGAUCGGGAGGAACACCAGAGGCGAAGGCGGCGACCUGGACAGUGACUGACACUCAACUGCGAAAGCGUGGGGAGCAAAC